This 450-nucleotide ribosomal RNA is filed under the name uncultured bacterium. Its description in RNAcentral is "bacterial SSU rRNA". It matches the Rfam family "Bacterial small subunit ribosomal RNA", at positions 354 to 796 of the family's 1533-position model. The record is from RNAcentral.
GUGGGGAAUAUUGGACAAUGGGCGAAAGCCUGAUCCAGCCAUGCCGCGUGUGUGAAGAAGGUCUUCGGAUUGUAAAGCACUUUAAGUUGGGAGGAAGGGCAGUAAGUUAAUACCUUGCUGUUUUGACGUUACCGACAGAAUAAGCACCGGCUAACUUCGUGCCAGCAGCCGCGGUAAUACGAAGGGUGCAAGCGUUAAUCGGAAUUACUGGGCGUAAAGCGCGCGUAGGUGGUUUUGUAAGUUGGAGGUGAAAUCCCCGGGCUCAACCUGGGAACUGCCUCCAAAACUGCAUGACUAGAGUACGGUAGAGGGUAGUGUAAUUUCCUGUGUAGCGGUGAAAUGCGUAGAUAUAGGAAGGAACACCAGUGGCGAAGGCGACUACCUGGACUGAUACUGACACUGAGGUGCGAAAGCGUGGGGAGCAAACAGGAUUAGAAACCCCGGUAGUCC